Molecule: ribosomal RNA, 119 nt
Filed under: Pteropus alecto (black flying fox)
Lineage: Eukaryota; Metazoa; Chordata; Mammalia; Chiroptera; Pteropodidae
Source: RNAcentral
GCAAAGAGAUGUGCCACCCUGAACAAGCCCGAUCCCAUCUGAUCUCGGAAGCUAAGCAGGGUCGGGCCUGGUUAGUACUUGGAUGGGAGACCACCUAGGAAGCCCAGGUGCUGUAGGCG